RNAcentral lists this ribosomal RNA (253 nucleotides) under uncultured bacterium. RNAcentral describes it as "partial 16S ribosomal RNA". It matches the Rfam family "Bacterial small subunit ribosomal RNA", at positions 524 to 776 of the family's 1533-position model. The record is from RNAcentral.
UACGUAGGGGGCAAGCGUUGUCCGGAUUUAUUGGGCGUAAAGAGCGUGUAGGCGGCCAUGUAGGUCCGUUGUGAAAACUCGAGGCUCAACCUCGAGACGCCGAUGGAAACCAUGUGGCUAGAGGCCGGAAGAGGAGAGUGGAAUUCCUGGUGUAGCGGUGAAAUGCGCAGAUAUCAGGAAGAACACCCGUGGCUAAGGCGGCUCUCUAGUACGGUACUGACGCUGAGACGCGAAAGCGUGGGGAGCGAACAGG